AUAUCUAGGUGGAGAAACAUCAGAGGAGUGUUAGCACAUUGAUUCUGUGAGAUAAACAUACAAGAUGCGGUGGUUAGGCCUGAGCAUCUUGUUGGUCGUAGCCACCCUCUCAUGGGCUACACAGGAGUGCAAGAACAAACCAACGUGUUCAGAAUGUAUUCAGACACCCAACUGCAUGUGGUGUGGGAAACCUGGGAAUUUCACAAAUGAGAAUGGCAAAGGACUAUCAAGGUGCAUCAAGCGAACUGACGAAUUAGCUACUGAGUGGCGUGCACAGUGCGGCAGUCUGUACAUCGAUGAACCUGGCAACUACUAUGAAAAUAUUGUGAACAAUGACCUGACAGCUGCAGGUGUACUGGCAGGUGGAAGUGCCAGUGCCAGUGGUGUAAGCAUUAGUGGCAGCAGUUCUGAAGAAGCUGUCGUGCAAAUCAAACCUCAAAGAGUACAGAUGAAGCUGAGAGUCCAGGAAGCAUACAACAUGCAAGUCACUUUCAGACAAGCAGAGGAUUACCCUGUUGACCUUUAUUAUCUCAUGGACUUGUCUAAGUCUAUGGAGGAUGACAAAGAGUCACUCUCCAAGCUGGGAAUCCAAUUAGCUGAUGAGAUGCAAAAAAUCACAAGGAAUUUCAAACUUGGCUUUGGUUCCUUUGUGGACAAAGUUGUAAUGCCUUACGUCAGCACUGUUCCUGAGAGACUUCUUCAUCCAUGCACCAACUGUACUGCUCCAUAUGGCUUCAGGAAUGCCCUGCCUCUCACCACAAAUGCCACUGCUUUUGCUUAUGAAGUACAGGAGGCACCAGUGUCGGGUAACCUUGAUGCUCCAGAGGGUGGAUUUGAUGCCAUUAUGCAAGCCAUCGUCUGUCAGGACCAGAUUAGGUGGAGGUCAGAAGCCCGUCGCCUUUUGGUCUUCUCAACAGAUGCUGGUUUUCAUUAUGCAGGAGAUGGCAAGCUUGGUGGCAUUGUGAAACCCAAUGACGGAGAGUGCCACCUCAAUAACAAGGGAGAGUACACUCACUCUACUCUUCAGGAUUAUCCUUCCGUCUCACAGAUUAAUCAAGUAGCUAAGCAACACAAGAUGAACUUAAUCUUCGCUGUGACGCAAGAGCAGUCGUCUGUGUACUCUCGUCUUUCCCAAAUGAUUGAAGGUUCCGGCCAAGGAGAACUCACAGCUAAUUCCUCCAAUGUAGUUGAGCUGGUCAAGGCUGAAUAUAAUAAAAUUACCAGCAAAGUUGAGCUGAAGGACAAUGCGACGGCCCCAGUCAACAUCCGCUACUUCUCAAAGUGCAAGGACGGCACAGAGAGGGAGACCUCGGUGUGCCAGGGACUGAAAGUUGGCGACCAGGUGGAAUUUAAAAUUGAAGUUACCGUCGAGAAGUGUCCUGAGAACCGUGAGGAUUGGAGGCAGCUCAUUGGCAUUUAUCCAGUCGGUUUGAGAGAGAACCUCACCAUCGAUCUCACAAUGCUCUGUGAUUGUCAGUGCGAACGCCCUGGUGACCCUGGCUACAUAAUUGGAGCUGAGCAGUGCAACUUCCACGGCACAUACCAGUGUGGAGUUUGCAAGUGUGACGAUGGCUUCUUUGGGAGCAACUGUGAGUGUGGCUCAAACACACCCUGGGCAACGGGUGACUAUGAUGACUCAAGCUGCCGAGAGACCAACACAUCAGCCAUAUGCAGCGGCCGAGGCACCUGCACUUGUGGAGAAUGCAAGUGUAAUGAGAGAGAUCAUUCUGAAGAGAUUGUAAGUGGAAAAUUCUGCGAAUGCACCAACUUCCUCUGUGAUCGUCACAAUGGACUUCUGUGUUCAGGACUUGAUCAUGGUGAAUGCAUCUGCAAUGAAUGCAAAUGCAAGCCAGGUUGGACUGGAGAGGCCUGUAAUUGUGAAGACAGUGAAAGCAAUUGUGUAAACCCUGAUACUGGAGACAUUUGUUCAAACCAAGGAAAAUGUGAGUGUAACCAGUGCAAGUGUUAUGAGACAGCUGAUGGCAGAUAUUCGGGCAAAUGGUGUGAGGACUGUCCGACAUGCAAGGGCAAAUGCAUUGCAUACAAGGCGUGUGUACAGUGCCAGGUGUUUGAGACUGGUGAAUUCAACGUCGAGGAGUGCAAAGCCAACUGUACUACUUUCAACUCCACACCUGUACCAGUAGCUGAAGCUGUGUGGCACUGACUUCAAGUGCCUGGACUUUAAGGAGUGUGUACAGUGUCGUGUUUACGAGACGGGCCCUUUAGCAGAAGAUCCAGUGCUCUGUGAUAGCUGCUCCCUCCUCUACAGCACCAUUACUGACCGAGCCAUUGCCAACUAUACUAUUAAUGUUACUAACUGGGUUGAAGUGGAAAAUGAAGGAGAGCGUCUGUGCACCUUCUUUGACGAGAAUGAUUGCCGUUUCACCUUUGUUUAUGGAUAUGACGAGAAUAAGGAACCUGUUGUACGUGUGCAGCAGACACUGGAAUGCCCUCCAAAAUUAGACAUCCUUGGAAUUGUAUUGGGUGUCAUUGGAGCUAUUGUCGCUGUCGGAUUGGCGUUGCUAAUAAUGUGGAAGGUUCUGACAACUAUCCAUGACAGAAGGGAGUUCGCACGCUUCGAGAAAGAACGCAUGAUGGCCAAGUGGGAUACUGGCGAGAAUCCCAUCUACAAGCAGGCCACAUCAACGUUUAAGAACCCCAUGUAUGGUGGUGGCAAGUAAAAAGCCACUGAGCUAUGAUCUCAUCGCUAGGUUUGAAUCUCUGCUGAGAGGUGUAAUCUGAAUUAGAGUAAUGAAGAUGGUUGGUAGUAGUCUUGUCAGCAAACUAUAUUGAACAAUCAAUAGCUCUUUAUUUUAAGAUGUGUUCACAAUGCAUUUUAAUUUAGGUUCUCUUUGUAUCUAAUUCUUUUCAUAUCCUUUAUUUUAUUUUACUUUUUUUUUUUACUUGUUAUUAAUAUGAUGCUUGUAGUUAUAUGCUUCUUUGAGUAUGUAACUGUAACAAUAAUAGUAUUGGUAGAAUAGACUUGCUGGAUAAUCCAGUGUUAAUGUGCCAAUUUUUAGUGAAUGUUUCUUUCAAAAUAAUGUGUAUUAAAUGUGUACAUAGUUCAUAGUUGGUGCUGUCACCUCUUAAAUCUUCUUAUAUAGUUUCUUCAUAUACUAAAUCCUUGCAGGGUUAAGCCCGUUUAUUUUAAUGACUUUAAAACUUUUAUUGUACGGAGUUCCACAUUUAUCAAGUUGGAACCUGUUGAAAGCUUUACUAAUCUGUUAAAUAUUUACCAAAAAAAAAAAGUCUUCAUACACCAAGUAAGAAAGUGUGCUCCAUUUUUAAAUGAUAAAUCUAAAUCAUUGCUGUUUUCCCUUCCAUUGUAGUGCCUUUUGCAUUUAUCAUUAUCAGUCUUCACUUAAAAGUGCCUAACAAAACUUUUACUUUUUAUAGUUUAGUAAUUUAUUAGAAAACAUGUCGUAUAGGUUCAUAGAAAAUACAAUAUGAAUAUAUAUCCUUCUGCAAUGCUAAAACCAAAGUUUUAAGACAAUGUAAAAGUCUGGAGAUUGUGGCCACAUUGCAGGCAGCUACUUGGUAUUAAGUUUUAAAAUGUGCAAAUCACAAAUAAUUGUAAUAAUUGUUCAAAAUGAUCUUGUAGAAUAUAGGAGCAAAUAUUAAGGGUCUGUAUGGUAACACUGUACAAUUAUUUAAUAAAAUGAAAAUAAGUUUUUUUUUUUUUUUUUUCUUGGUUGAUUAAAUAUGCAAAACACACUUUCCAAUUUGUUCAUAGAAAAAAAAGGUAAGCGCAGUAUGUAGAUAUUAAGGAUUAGCAAACUGCGUAGAUCUAAUGAGUAAGAUAUUUUACUUUCUUCUUUGGUUACUGUAAUUAUUAAAUAUAUGCUUCCUGUAAAAUGGAGGGAGAAAUAUAUUUAUAUGUAUUUCUGGGUUAACUCGCAAAUUUGAAUUACUUAUGAAAGACUAAAUAACACAAAAUUCUAACAUUGUAAAACAUGUUUAACUAUUCAAAAGAUCUGAUAAGUUUUAGUCUUGUGUACAUUGGUUUUAAUAAAACUCAGUGAAUUUUAA
RNAcentral lists this unclassified non-coding RNA (4029 nucleotides) under Penaeus monodon (black tiger shrimp). RNAcentral describes it as "integrin beta-PS-like, transcript variant X11". Lineage: Eukaryota; Metazoa; Arthropoda; Malacostraca; Decapoda; Penaeidae. The record is from RNAcentral.